This 441-nucleotide ribosomal RNA is filed under the name uncultured bacterium. Its description in RNAcentral is "partial 16S ribosomal RNA". It matches the Rfam family "Bacterial small subunit ribosomal RNA", at positions 338 to 795 of the family's 1533-position model. The record is from RNAcentral.
CCUACGGGAGGCAGCAGUGGGGAAUAUUGCACAAUGGGGGAAACCCUGAUGCAGCAACGCCGCGUGAAGGAAGACGGUUUUCGGAUUGUAAACUUCUGUUUAUAGUGAAGAAAAAUGACGGUAGCUAAGGAGCAAGCCACGGCUAACUACGUGCCAGCCGCCGCGGUAAUACGUAGGUGGCAAGCGUUGUCCGGAAGUACUGGGUUUAAAGGGAGCGCAGGCGGGAAGCCAAGUCAGCUGUGAAAUCUACGGGCUUAACUUGUAGACUGCAGUUGAUACUGGUAGUCUUGAGUGAAGUAGAGGUAGGCGGAAUUCGUGGUGUAGCGGUGAAAUGCGUAGAUAUUCGGAGGAACACCGAUGGCGAAGGCGGCCAACUAGGCUUUAACUGACGCUGAGGCUCGAAAGUGUGGGGAGCAAACAGGAUUAGAUACCCCUGUAGUC